Gorilla gorilla gorilla (western lowland gorilla) is the source of this 156-nucleotide long non-coding RNA. RefSeq lists it as uncharacterized. The record is from RefSeq and is a predicted model, not a curated record. The transcript has 3 exons. NCBI's taxonomy places the organism in Eukaryota, Metazoa, Chordata, Mammalia, Primates, Hominidae.
CUCAGCUACAGUCCAGACCUCAAAUAAUCUACAGGAUGAAAUUAUGAAUUUUUAAGAUCUAAAAAAUAAGAGAAGGAAGAAGGAAUUGACUUCCAAUGUUUUGCUAAAAAGAUUAUUCAUGAUGAUCCAAGAGCACAUCCACCCCUCACAAUCACC